RNAcentral lists this ribosomal RNA (495 nucleotides) under uncultured bacterium. RNAcentral describes it as "partial 16S ribosomal RNA". It matches the Rfam family "Bacterial small subunit ribosomal RNA", at positions 29 to 523 of the family's 1533-position model. The record is from RNAcentral.
AUUGAACGCUGGCGGCAUGCCUUACACAUGCAAGUCGAACGACGCUAGGGGCAACUCUAGCGAGUGGCGUACGGGUGAGUAAUGCAUCGGAACGUGCCCUCUCGUGGGGGAUAACCAGUCGAAAGAUUGGCUAAUACCGCAUGAGCUCGAGAGAGGAAAGCGGGGGACCGCAAGGCCUCGCGCGAGAGGAGCGGCCGAUGCCCGAUUAGCUAGUUGGUGGGGUAAUGGCCCACCAAGGCGACGAUCGGUAGCUGGUCUGAGAGGACGACCAGCCACACUGGGACUGAGACACGGCCCAGACUCCUACGGGAGGCAGCAGUGGGGAAUUUUGGACAAUGGGGGCAACCCUGAUCCAGCCAUGCCGCGUGUGUGAAGAAGGCCUUCGGGUUGUAAAGCACUUUCGGACGGAACGAAAUCGCGCGGGUGAACAAUCCGCGUGGAUGACGGUACCGUAAGAAGAAGCACCGGCUAACUACGUGCCAGCCGCCGCCGUAA